UUUCCCGCAGAAACCUGGCGACUCCGCCCGGAAAGGUCGCCGUCGCUGUCAGGGCGGCCACCUUGGCCUUUCUUGGUCGCUGGUCCUGCUCCAACGGAGGCCGUCGAUGCUACGGUUACUUCUCUCCGCUGCUCCUCGUCGUGUUUAGGGUCUCCACUCCAGACUACGGAUCCUUGUCGCUACAGAGCCUCAGUUGAUGGCAACACACUUUGCUCUGUGAUGGAACGGCUUACCCAGAAACCUGGCUUGGCUUUGGGGAAGCUGCUGAGGUUCCUGGCCUGGCUCACGUCAUUCACUAAAGAUUGUUGAGUCCCUACAGCAUGUCGCUCCUGCUGUCACUCUGGAUAGGUGCCAUCGAAUCGGUGCACCCCAUGUACAACAGUGGGACGCUGCCAGGUUUGAGCCCACCGUUGCAGCCGAGUGGUGUCACUGCAUCUUGUUGGAGGUCUUCCUCUUUUGUCACUGACCCUCUGCCAAGCAUGAUGUCAUUCUCCAGGGACUCCUAAUAACCUCUCCAAUGUACAAGACGAGAUCUCACCAUCUCUGCUUUCAAGGAGCGUUCUGCUGUACUUCUUCCAAGACAGAGUUGAUCCUUCUGCUGUCGGUCCAUGUGAUAUUCAGUACUGUUCGUCAGUAAUAUAAUUCAAAGACACCAA
Echinops telfairi (small Madagascar hedgehog) is the source of this 656-nucleotide long non-coding RNA. RefSeq lists it as uncharacterized. The transcript has 2 exons. The record is from RefSeq and is a predicted model, not a curated record. Lineage: Eukaryota; Metazoa; Chordata; Mammalia; Afrosoricida; Tenrecidae.